This 419-nucleotide long non-coding RNA is filed under the name Homo sapiens (human). Its description in RNAcentral is "HSALNT0384051". The record is from RNAcentral. Lineage: Eukaryota; Metazoa; Chordata; Mammalia; Primates; Hominidae.
CGAGGCGCAGCGUGACGGCGGCGUGCAGCCCCACGGCCGGGCUGUAGCGCGUGAGCUCCAGGAACACAGCGCGGCUCCUGCGCAGAGGGGUCUGGCUGGACUAAAGGCAAAACUAAAGCCCAGAAGACAGACCAGUGCACCGGAUGCCCGUACCGCGUGAUGGCCAGGAAGGCCCGGCUGUGCAGCUCCUGCUUGAUGGCGCUUUGCAGACGUGUGUAGGGCUCCCUGAGGCCAGAGAUCUGCUUGUGUCUCCAGGAGCCAGUGACCACCGAGGCUGUGCCACUGCAUCGGGCCACCAUGCUGAUAUGCCCGGUCCCAGAGCUGCUAGAGAAGAGGUACAGAGGCAGCGAAGACACGUUGAGGGGGAGGACGAGACCAACUGCGAGACGCCGAGUCCCGGGCUCUCAGGACGCUCUCCC